Molecule: transfer RNA, 72 nt
Filed under: Jaagichlorella roystonensis
Lineage: Eukaryota; Viridiplantae; Chlorophyta; Trebouxiophyceae; Watanabeales; Watanabeaceae
Description: tRNA-Phe
Source: RNAcentral
UGUCCAGAUAGCUCAGUUGGUUAGAGCAAAGGACUGAAAAAGAACGCCAUUUAAACGAUCUUUGUUUAAUCA